RNAcentral lists this microRNA (23 nucleotides) under Monodelphis domestica (gray short-tailed opossum). RNAcentral's name for it is "mdo-miR-7367-5p". The record is from miRBase by way of RNAcentral. Lineage: Eukaryota; Metazoa; Chordata; Mammalia; Didelphimorphia; Didelphidae.
UUGGGCCUUAAAGGGAGCAGAAG